Long non-coding RNA from Dendrobium catenatum, 183 nucleotides. RefSeq lists it as uncharacterized. Lineage: Eukaryota; Viridiplantae; Streptophyta; Magnoliopsida; Asparagales; Orchidaceae. The record is from RefSeq and is a predicted model, not a curated record. The transcript is spliced from 3 exons.
ACCUUGCAUAAAAGCUGGUAGUGAUAGCAAUCCAAAAUACUUGCCAAUGGAGGUAUGCAAAAUUGUGGACGGACAGAGGUAUAUUAAGAAGUUGAAUGAUCGACAAGUAACUCAAAUAUUGAGAUAAACUUGCAAGCGUCCAGCUGAGAGGGAACAAAGCAUUUUGCAGUUGGUCAAGAAAAA